RNAcentral lists this ribosomal RNA (1618 nucleotides) under Bacillus thuringiensis serovar morrisoni. RNAcentral's name for it is "bacterial LSU rRNA". It matches the Rfam family "Bacterial large subunit ribosomal RNA", at positions 1206 to 2829 of the family's 2925-position model. The record is from RNAcentral. Lineage: Bacteria; Bacillati; Bacillota; Bacilli; Caryophanales; Bacillaceae.
AUUGAUACCAAUGGUAUCAGUGGUAGGGGAGCGUUCUAAGUGCAGUGAAGUCAGACCGGAAGGACUGGUGGAGCGCUUAGAAGUGAGAAUGCCGGUAUGAGUAGCGAAAGACGGGUGAGAAUCCCGUCCACCGAAUGCCUAAGGUUUCCUGAGGAAGGCUCGUCCGCUCAGGGUUAGUCAGGACCUAAGCCGAGGCCGACAGGCGUAGGCGAUGGACAACAGGUUGAUAUUCCUGUACCACCUCUUUAUCGUUUGAGCAAUGGAGGGACGCAGAAGGAUAGAAGAAGCGUGCGAUUGGUUGUGCACGUCCAAGCAGUUAGGCUGAUAAGUAGGCAAAUCCGCUUAUCGUGAAGGCUGAGCUGUGAUGGGGAAGCUCCUUAUGGAGCGAAGUCUUUGAUUCCCCGCUGCCAAGAAAAGCUUCUAGCGAGAUAAAAGGUGCCUGUACCGCAAACCGACACAGGUAGGCGAGGAGAGAAUCCUAAGGUGUGCGAGAGAACUCUGGUUAAGGAACUCGGCAAAAUGACCCCGUAACUUCGGGAGAAGGGGUGCUUUCUUAACGGAAAGCCGCAGUGAAUAGGCCCAAGCGACUGUUUAGCAAAAACACAGCUCUCUGCGAAGCCGUAAGGCGAAGUAUAGGGGGUGACACCUGCCCGGUGCUGGAAGGUUAAGGAGAGGGGUUAGCGUAAGCGAAGCUCUGAACUGAAGCCCCAGUAAACGGCGGCCGUAACUAUAACGGUCCUAAGGUAGCGAAAUUCCUUGUCGGGUAAGUUCCGACCCGCACGAAAGGUGUAACGAUUUGGGCACUGUCUCAACCAGAGACUCGGUGAAAUUAUAGUACCUGUGAAGAUGCAGGUUACCCGCGACAGGACGGAAAGACCCCGUGGAGCUUUACUGUAGCCUGAUAUUGAAUUUUGGUACAGUUUGUACAGGAUAGGCGGGAGCCAUUGAAACCGGAGCGCUAGCUUCGGUGGAGGCGCUGGUGGGAUACCGCCCUGACUGUAUUGAAAUUCUAACCUACGGGUCUUAUCGACCCGGGAGACAGUGUCAGGUGGGCAGUUUGACUGGGGCGGUCGCCUCCUAAAGUGUAACGGAGGCGCCCAAAGGUUCCCUCAGAAUGGUUGGAAAUCAUUCGUAGAGUGCAAAGGCAUAAGGGAGCUUGACUGCGAGACCUACAAGUCGAGCAGGGACGAAAGUCGGGCUUAGUGAUCCGGUGGUUCCGCAUGGAAGGGCCAUCGCUCAACGGAUAAAAGCUACCCCGGGGAUAACAGGCUUAUCUCCCCCAAGAGUCCACAUCGACGGGGAGGUUUGGCACCUCGAUGUCGGCUCAUCGCAUCCUGGGGCUGUAGUCGGUCCCAAGGGUUGGGCUGUUCGCCCAUUAAAGCGGUACGCGAGCUGGGUUCAGAACGUCGUGAGACAGUUCGGUCCCUAUCCGUCGUGGGCGUAGGAAAUUUGAGAGGAGCUGUCCUUAGUACGAGAGGACCGGGAUGGACGCACCGCUGGUGUACCAGUUGUUCUGCCAAGGGCAUAGCUGGGUAGCUAUGUGCGGAAGGGAUAAGUGCUGAAAGCAUCUAAGCAUGAAGCCCCCCUCAAGAUGAGAUUUCCCAUAGCGUAAGCUAGU